UACAGAGGCCUCAAGCAUUAUCCGGAAUCACUGGGCGUAAAGGGUGUGUAGGCGGUCGUGUUAGUCUCUCGUGAAAGGCUUUGGGCUUAACCCAGAGACCGCGGGGGAAACGGCACGGCUUUGAGGGCGCGAGAGGUAAAGGGAACUCAUGGUGUAGGGGUGAAAUCCGUUGAUAUCAUGGGGAACACCAAAUGCGAAGGCACUUUACUGGCGCGUUUCUGACGCUGAGACACGAAAGCGUGGGAAUCGAACGGG
RNAcentral lists this ribosomal RNA (255 nucleotides) under uncultured bacterium. Its description in RNAcentral is "partial 16S ribosomal RNA". It matches the Rfam family "Bacterial small subunit ribosomal RNA", at positions 524 to 776 of the family's 1533-position model. The record is from RNAcentral.